This is a long non-coding RNA of Drosophila takahashii, 708 nucleotides long. RefSeq lists it as uncharacterized. NCBI's taxonomy places the organism in Eukaryota, Metazoa, Arthropoda, Insecta, Diptera, Drosophilidae. The record is from RefSeq and is a predicted model, not a curated record.
CGGCCUGCCGGCAUUUCCUACAGGGCACGAAGGACAUCCUCGUCUACAUCAAACGAGAGCGCCCAUAAGGGAUACAGUUGUUAACGUGGCCAAGGAGCAGCGACUAUGGCGGGGAGAAAAACACAAACAUGGUUGCCACGAGUGUCGUGAAGGACGAGGGCCGCAGGACGCUUGCAGUUGAAGGAGCAGGGCACUUUAUGUGCAUAUAAUGUCCGCUCAGACCCGAGCACACACACCGACACUCCGGGACCCUUCGAAUACAGUGUCGGCCAAGUUGCGGGGAAUUGUUAAUAUUGUCUGGGCCUGUAAGCAGCAUUUACAUGCUGGCCGACACCACGUACUACAUACGUCCUGGCUGAUGGACGGGCUCCUUUCCAUGCGGAUGAUGUCGGCUUUAAAUGUUGAAUUAACCGACGAAACCGGCAGCUUUCAUUAGAAGCGGAGGAUGGACAAAGUGCAGGAGUUUGAGGAUGUGGAAAGCCCAAAUGCCGAUGCAUUCUUGAUUCGUGGCAUUAAGACAAAAAUAAACUUGAUUUUGGUAUGAAAUUGAUUCAUUCAUUUUCAAUCCAUUGAGUAAGAUUCUUAUCCGAUGGAUGAGUCGGGCCAGCAUCGCCACUUCCAACUGUGUGCACAUCCAACAGGUAGUCAAACCAGACAUACUGUCUCCACUUGAAGUCCAUCGGAGUCUUUCCCUCUUCUUCGCUCUUU